UUGACAGCCCUUGAGACCAAUGUCUUCCAGUUACUGAUAAAUCAGGUACAGCACAGAAAGCAGCAGUACUAGCUUUCACACCCAACAAAUGUGCCUCAAUUCUGCACUGCAGGGACCAGUUCUACAGUUUUCCCUUCUCUUUCCCCAGGGCCCUUUCAAUCCCUGGCAUCU
RNAcentral lists this small RNA (171 nucleotides) under Chelonoidis abingdonii (Abingdon island giant tortoise). Its description in RNAcentral is "TUC338 (ENSCABG00000015912.1)". The record is from RNAcentral. Lineage: Eukaryota; Metazoa; Chordata; Testudines; Testudinidae.